CCGUUUGAGUGUCGUGAAAUCUCAACCUUCUCGGUUUCUUCUGGACACCGAAGGAGGCUUGGACCUUGGAGGCCCUUGCUGGCGUCUCUCUCUUUUGAGAGCCAGCUCCUCUCAAAUGAAUUAGCGGGGUCCUCUUCGCCGAUCCUCGACAUGUGAUAAGAUGUUUCCGUGUCUUGGUUUAUGGCUCUGUCGCUUUUGGGACCCGCUUCUAACCGUCUCGACGAGACAAUGUUUGAGCGUGUCUCCCUACUCGGGAAACACUCUCGAACCCACGAUCCCUUGACCUCAAAUCGGGUGUGACUACCCGCUGAACUUAAGCAUAUCAAUAAGCGGAGG
RNAcentral lists this ribosomal RNA (336 nucleotides) under uncultured Lactarius. RNAcentral's name for it is "eukaryotic LSU rRNA". The stretch from base 281 to 336 matches the Rfam family "Eukaryotic large subunit ribosomal RNA", at positions 1 to 56 of the family's 3401-position model. Lineage: Eukaryota; Fungi; Basidiomycota; Agaricomycetes; Russulales; Russulaceae. The record is from RNAcentral.